AUUGAACGCUGGCGGCAGGCUUAACACAUGCAAGUCGAGCGAGCGGCGGACGGGUGAGUAAUGUCUGGGAAACUGCCUGAUGGAGGGGGAUAACUACUGGAAACGGUAGCUAAUACCGCAUACCAUCAGAUGUGCCCAGAUGGGAUUAGCUAGUGGGUGGGGUAAUGGCUCACCUAGGCGACGAUCCCUAGCUGGUCUGAGAGGAUGACCGGCCCAACUGGAAAUGAGACCCGGUCCAGACCCCUACGGGAGGCAGCAGUGGGGAAUAUGGCACAAUGGGCGCAAGCCUGAUGCAGCCAGGCCGCGUGUGUGAAGAAGGCCUUCGGGUUGUAAAGCACUUUCAGCGGGGAGGCGUUACCCGCAGAAGAAGCACCGGCUAACUCCGUGCCAGCAGCCGCGGUAAUUC
This 406-nucleotide ribosomal RNA is filed under the name uncultured bacterium. Its description in RNAcentral is "partial 16S ribosomal RNA". It matches the Rfam family "Bacterial small subunit ribosomal RNA", at positions 30 to 526 of the family's 1533-position model. The record is from RNAcentral.